Molecule: ribosomal RNA, 209 nt
Filed under: Morganella morganii
Lineage: Bacteria; Pseudomonadati; Pseudomonadota; Gammaproteobacteria; Enterobacterales; Morganellaceae
Description: partial 16S ribosomal RNA
Rfam family: Bacterial small subunit ribosomal RNA
Source: RNAcentral
UUAAUUGAAGAGUUUGAUCAUGGCUCAGAUUGAACGCUGGCGGCAGGCCUAACACAUGCAAGUCGGGCGGUAACAGGGAGAAGCUUGCUUCUCUGCUGACGAGCGGCGGACGGGUGAGUAAUGUAUGGGGAUCUGCCUGAUGGCGGGGGAUAACUACUGGAAACGGUAGCUAAUACCGCAUAAUGUCUUCGGACCAAAGCGGGGGACCU